This 377-nucleotide ribosomal RNA is filed under the name uncultured bacterium. RNAcentral's name for it is "bacterial SSU rRNA". It matches the Rfam family "Bacterial small subunit ribosomal RNA", at positions 28 to 404 of the family's 1533-position model. The record is from RNAcentral.
GACGAACGCUGGCGGCGUGCUUAACACAUGCAAGUCGAGCGGUAAGGCCCUUUCGGGGGGUACACGAGCGGCGAACGGGUGAGUAACACGUGGGUGACCUGCCCUCAGCUCUGGGGAUAAGCCUGGGAAACCGGGUCUAAUACCGGAUAUGACUCCAUGACGCAUGUUGUGGGGUGGAAAGCCUUGUGCGGCUGAGGAUGGGCCCGCGGCCUAUCAGCUUGUUGGUGGGGUGAUGGCCUACCAAGGCGACGACGGGUAGCCGGCCCUGAGAGGGCGACCGGCCACACUGGGACUGAGACACGGCCCAGACUCCUACGGGAGGCAGCAGUGGGGAUCUUGCGCAAUGGGCGAAAGCCUGACGCAGCGACGCCGCGUGA